GACGUAGGGUGCAAGCGUUGUCCGGAAUCAUUGGGCGUAAAGCGCGUGUAGGCGGUCCGGUAAGUCCGCUGUGAAAGUCGGGGGCUCAACCCUCGGAUGCCGGUGGAUACUGUCGGGCUUGAGUACGGAAGAGGCGAGUGGAAUUCCUGGUGUAGCGGUGAAAUGCGCAGAUAUCAGGAGGAACACCAAUGGCGAAGGCAGCUCGCUGGGACGGUACUGACGCUGAGACGCGAAAGCGUGGGGAGCAAACAGG
This 253-nucleotide ribosomal RNA is filed under the name uncultured bacterium. RNAcentral's name for it is "partial 16S ribosomal RNA". It matches the Rfam family "Bacterial small subunit ribosomal RNA", at positions 524 to 776 of the family's 1533-position model. The record is from RNAcentral.